Non-coding RNA from Pelobates cultripes (western spadefoot toad), 309 nucleotides. The record is from the annotation of a GenBank genome assembly. NCBI's taxonomy places the organism in Eukaryota, Metazoa, Chordata, Amphibia, Anura, Pelobatidae.
CUUUUAGCCAUAUUGCUCCAACACUUAUUAACUGCCCCAUUCAGCCACGUUGAUCCUACAAUUUAAAACUGUCCAUCCCGCCUAGCUAUACUACACUGACACUUUAGAACUUUGUACUAUUUUCAUUAGAUGUCUCUAUAUAAUGGCUUUAAGGUGCCUCCUAUUAAAAUUAUGCAAAAGGUCGGCUCUGGGGCCCUUUUUUCUCUCUGGUGUUUGACAAGCUUCCCAAAUGAUCAGCUUAUAUCUUAAAGAGUGUUGGAGCUUAUUUGUUAAAUACUGAAUGGUAGCAAAGUAACAACUGAAUUGCAC